This 497-nucleotide ribosomal RNA is filed under the name uncultured bacterium. RNAcentral describes it as "partial 16S ribosomal RNA". It matches the Rfam family "Bacterial small subunit ribosomal RNA", at positions 28 to 507 of the family's 1533-position model. The record is from RNAcentral.
GAUGAACGCUGGCGGCGUGCCUAAUACAUGCAAGUCGAGCGAACAGACGAGGAGCUUGCUCCUCUGACGUUAGCGGCGGACGGGUGAGUAACACGUGGAUAACCUACCUAUAAGACUGGGAUAACUUCGGGAAACCGGAGCUAAUACCGGAUAAUAUCUUGAACCGCAUGGUUCAAUAGUGAAAGACGGUUUUGCUGUCACUUAUAGAUGGAUCCGCGCCGCAUUAGCUAGUUGGUAAGGUAACGGCUUACCAAGGCGACGAUGCGUAGCCGACCUGAGAGGGUGAUCGGCCACACUGGAACGGAGACACGGUCAAGACUCCUACGGGAGGCAGCAGUAGGGAAUCUUCCGCAAUGGGCGAAAGCAUGACGGAGCAACGCCGCGUGAGUGAUGAAGGUCUUCGGAUCGUAAAACUCUGUUAUUAGGGAAGAACAAAUGUGUAAGUAACUAUGCACGUCGUGACGGUACCUAAUCAGAAAGCCACGGCUAACUACGUG